GCUACAGAAACUUUGUUAUUCCCAAAAAAGUUAUUUAAAAGCGCCGACAGCGCUUGUGAGAUUUGAAUUUUACCGUAAUUACCGUCAUAGUUGGUCACUACAACAUUUUAACAUGAAGCUGUAUCAGGCAUGGUGUCUUCCACGAUGACAAUGUCCCCAUCCACAAGAUAUGAGGGCUGACUGAAUGGUUUGAGAUUUUGGACUGAUGUGUUAGACAGCACUCUCUAGCACCAUCAUCAACACACCCACUGAGAAAAAUUGUUUUGGAAGAAUGGUGUUCAUCCCCCUGUACAGUUUCAGAGAGUUGUAAAAUCUAUGCCAAGGUCCAUUGAAACUCUUCUGCCGGCUCGAGAUAACAUUCUUUCCACUACCUCCCAGGCCAUGUGGCCAUGUGUGAGGUCUCUCUCUCACAGACACACACACACACACACACACACACACACACACACACACAAGUAGGUAUCAUCUGUAAGUGGUUUCAGCAACAUGAAUUUCAUGCAACUGCCAUAAAAUUCAAGAAUGUCUACCACUUAUAACUGUAGGAGUCAGAGUAAUGAAAUAAAUUCAUUUGAAAAUAAAUUAAUAUAAUAAAACAAUUUAUAAUUUAAUCAUAGUUUACAUACAUACAUACUCUAUUAAACAAAACAGAAUUGCAAUAUAUAAUUGCUGAAAAAUAUCCAUGAGAAAUGGCAGUCCACUCUGAUAGUUUUGAUUCCAGUGAUCGUUUGGUUCCAGAUCAAGCACAGUCUCCUCUGCAUGGACUGAACUGAGUGAAUCUUCUUAGCACCAUUCAGAAUGAUAGACUCAAGCAAAAAUCCCACCAUGGCAUUUGUUUUGCUAUAAGAAAAUAGAGAAAAAGUCUGGAUUCUAGCUAGAAUCUGAAACACACUCUCCCUGAAACUGGCUGGUGUGAUUCAGCUUGACAAUGCACAUUAUCUAAUCUAUAUUCUUUUAAUUUUGCCCUCUCCUUCCUGCAGAUUGGCAGAAAAUAUGAGAGAAAUCCUGAAAUGAAGUGACAGCAUUAUGACUUGGAAUAUGUAGAGAAUGCAUUAUUAUGUCUUAGUCAUCUAACAAACACACACAUACCCAACACCAAUCACUGUAGAAUCUGAUAGUUUAGUACAAGAUACUACAUUAUCUAAUAUAAUAUUUCUAUUCAGUUCAAAUGGAUAUGGUAACUGGAUGAUAUGUACUGAUAGAAAAGAAGAAAAUGUGUGUUUUAUUGGUGAAGGUAGAGGCCUGGUAUGGUCAGAGAUCCACCUGGCCAUCUGGAAUAAUGCUGAUGAUGAAUGACUUGGAAUGUUUUCUGCAGAAUCAGGAAUGUCAAGAAUGAUUAUAACAAGUGAAGAGGCCAGGCUCAGGUUUUACGAUGUACCCUCCUGCACACUGCACUACAGAGACUUCAGCCCCCAGUGCAUUAUUAUUACAGCUGGAUGGCAAACUCUUUAUUUAGAGAAGAGUUUCACUUGAAAAAAAAAAAAAACUUUUUCACAACCCAUUAAAGCAGUGCUUCACAAAUCAUAACUUACCUCACACACCUCAGGCAAUGCUUUAAAGGAAUAGUUCAGCUAAACAUAAAACUGUAUGUAGUCAUUCAGCCAGUAUAUGUUUAUUGUCUUAAAUUAUCUUUAGUUUCGCACUGUAGCUACAAGGCUAAUAUUGCUAACAAGUAAGGAAAGCUUAUAGCCACCAGUUUAGCAGGAUGUAAAUUGCAUGCCCAAAUCAUUGCACAUUUUCCUCAAACCUUGUAUUGCUGCUUGCUUGUAUAAGCUUUAAGCAGGAAUCACUUUCUUCAGUGUAGAGUUUGGUAUGACUCCAUGCAAACUCACACUCAGGGAGAAGAAGCCCAAAUUAUGACAGUGAUAGACGAUAGCCGGAUGAUAACAUUGUUUCAAUUAGAUUUUGUAUAUUAAUUAAAAUGCAGUUUGCACAAUGAUGGUAGCUAUAACUUUCUAUAUAAAUAUGUAUAAGUAAUAUUGUAAUAAAUCUUUGCCACAUGACAUAUAGGAUAUUGAUUUAUAAAUUAAAUUCUAUUAAGGAGCUCAUACUAUUUCUUUUCCUACACUUGGUCCUCUUUGAUCUUACUACAUUUAAUUGGUUGUAAAUCACUAAGUGAAGUGAGUGAAGAAACUUCAUUUAAAAGUGUUAA
Molecule: long non-coding RNA, 2149 nt
Organism: Pangasianodon hypophthalmus (striped catfish)
Lineage: Eukaryota; Metazoa; Chordata; Actinopteri; Siluriformes; Pangasiidae
Exons: 3
Source: RefSeq, a predicted model, not a curated record